AAUAAGCGUCGGCUAACUACGUGCCAGCGGCCGGGGUAGGACGUAGGACGCAAGCGUUGUCCGGAUUGCCUGGGCAUAAAGCGCCUGUAGGCGGUCAAGUAAGUCGGAUUGCAAGCCCCGUGCUCAGCACGGGUAAGCCAGUCGAUCCUGCCUGAAUAGAGAACGACAGAGGGAAACGGAAACGUCUGAGUAUCGCUAAAAUUGCACAGAGAUCAGAAAGAACACCGAUGGCGAAGCCAGUUUCCUAGCCCGCAUCGGACACUGAGAGGCGAAAGCUAGGGGAGCAAACAGGAAUAGAGACCCAGGUAGUCCUAGCUGUAAACGAUGGAUGCUAGAUGUGGUCCGGAAAGCUCCGUGCCGUAGUUCACGCGAUAAGCAUACCGCCUGGGGAGUACGCCCGCAAGGCUAAAACUCACACGAAUUGACGGGGACCCGCACAAGCACCGGAGCGUGUGGUGUAAUUCGAUGCUACACGCAGAACACUACACGGGCUUGACAUGUAGGUGUUAGUGAAGUGAAAGCGGAGCGACCCUUCGGGGAGCCUACACAGGUGCUGCAUGGCUGUCGUCAGCUCGUGCCGUGAGAUAUCGGGUUAAGUCCCGUAACGAGCGCAACCCCCGUCCCGAGAUACAAGUGUCUAAAGAGACUGCCGCGGGACACACCGGAGAAAGAUGGGGUGACAGUCAAGUCAGCAUGGCCCUUAUGUCCAGGGCGACACACACGCUACAAUGGUCGGUACAAUGGGCAGCGCAACCGCGAGAGGAAGCGAAUCCCAACAAAGCCGAUCCCAGUUCGGAUUGCAGGCUGCAACCCGCCUGCAUGAAGCCGGAGUUGCUAGUAACCGCGCGUCAGCCAUAGUGCGGUGAAUACGUUCCCGGGUCUUGUACACACCGCCCGUCACGUCAUGG
Molecule: ribosomal RNA, 908 nt
Filed under: uncultured organism
Description: bacterial SSU rRNA
Rfam family: Bacterial small subunit ribosomal RNA
Source: RNAcentral